Molecule: ribosomal RNA, 386 nt
Filed under: Hydrozoa sp.
Lineage: Eukaryota; Metazoa; Cnidaria; Hydrozoa
Description: partial small subunit ribosomal RNA
Rfam family: Eukaryotic small subunit ribosomal RNA
Source: RNAcentral
AUUCCAGCUCCAAUAGCGUAUAUUAAAGUUGUUGCAGCUAAAAAGCUCGUAGUUGGAUUUCUGGGAGGGUGCCAAUGUCCGUCGUCGUACGUGUUGCAGCGGCGCCCUUCCAUCCUUCUGUUAACGACUUUGGGCAUUCACUUGCCGGAGUCGGGCUCAGAUAUUUUACCUUGAAAAAAUUAGAGUGUUCAAAGCAGGCUAUCGCUUGAAUACAUGAGCAUGGAAUAAUGGAAUAGGACUUUGGUCUUAUUUUAUUGGUUUCUGAGACCGAAGUAAUGAUUAAGAGGGACAAUUGGGGGCAUCCGUAUUUCGUUGUCAGAGGUGAAAUUCUUGGAUUUACGAAAGACGAACAACUGCGAAAGCACUUGCCAAGAGUGUUUUCAUUA